GAGCACGUAGGUGGGUUUGUAAGUCAGACGUGAAAGCCUUCUGUUCAACGGAAGAAUUGCAUCUGAAACUACAAACCUUGAGUGUAGGAGGGGAGAAUGGAACUUCUGGUGGAGCGGUGAAAUGCGUAGAUAUCAGAAGGAACGCCGGCGGCGAAAGCGAUUCUCUGGCCUAUUACUGACACUCAGUGUGCGAAAGCUAGGGGAGCAAACGGGAUUAGAUACCCCGGUAGUCCUAGCCGUAAACGAUGGGCACUAAGUAGAGGGAAUUACCGAUAUUCUCUCUGCCGUAGCUAACGCAUUAAGUGCCCCGCCUGGGGAGUACGGCCGCAAGGCUAAAACUCAAAAGAAUUGACGGGGGCUCGCACAAGCGGUGGAGCAUGUGGCUUAAUUCGAUGCAACGCGAAAAACCUUACCGGGGCUUGACAUGGUAGAAGUAGGAACCCGAAAGGGUAACGAACGGUAUUCAGUCCGUGGCUAUCACAGGUGUUGCAUGGCUGUCGUCAGCUCGUGUCGUGAGACGUUGGGUUAAGUCCCCUAACGAGCGAAACCCUUGUUUUUAGUUGCCAGCGGGUUAUGCCGGGCACUCUAGAAAGACUGCCGUCGUCAAGACGGAGGAAGGUGGGGAUGACGUCAAGUCAUCAUGGCCCUUAUGCCCCGGGCUGCACACGUGCUACAAUGGUCGGUACAAACGGAAGCGAAGCCGAGAGGUGAAGCGAAUCC
This 720-nucleotide ribosomal RNA is filed under the name uncultured Planctomycetota bacterium. RNAcentral's name for it is "bacterial SSU rRNA". It matches the Rfam family "Bacterial small subunit ribosomal RNA", at positions 565 to 1274 of the family's 1533-position model. The record is from RNAcentral. Lineage: Bacteria; Pseudomonadati; Planctomycetota.